This 253-nucleotide long non-coding RNA is filed under the name Fukomys damarensis (Damara mole-rat). RNAcentral's name for it is "lncRNA (ENSFDAG00000024693.1)". The record is from RNAcentral. Lineage: Eukaryota; Metazoa; Chordata; Mammalia; Rodentia; Bathyergidae.
CGAGAAGGGGUUUUUAAGAAGAGAUUUGGUGGCAUAGGCUCUGCGCUUAUGAAUGAAUGAAUGCUUUCAUCACAACAGUCUGUACAUGCAUAGAGGGAAGGUCUGCAGUCCGCUGACUAUGUUUACCUCAAGGAAAUUGGCCUGGAGGAAGUAUGGGAAAAGAAUGUGCAUUAAAAAAUGCUUAAAGGCAAGGCCAGGGAUGUAACUCAAUGGCACAGCACCUGCCUGGCAAGCAGAAGGUCCUGAGUUCGAG